RNAcentral lists this ribosomal RNA (465 nucleotides) under uncultured bacterium. Its description in RNAcentral is "partial 16S ribosomal RNA". It matches the Rfam family "Bacterial small subunit ribosomal RNA", at positions 28 to 507 of the family's 1533-position model. The record is from RNAcentral.
GACGAACGCUGGCGGCGUGCUUAACACAUGCAAGUCGAACGGAAAGGCCCUGCUUGCAGGGUACUCGAGUGGCGAACGGGUGAGUAACACGUGGGUGAUCUGCCCUGCACUUCGGGAUACGCCUGGUAAUAUGGGUCUAAUACCGGAUAGGAGCCAUUUUCAGUGUGAUGGUUGGAACGCUUUUUCGGUGUAGGAUGAGCUCGCGGCCUAUCAGCUUGUUGGUGGGGUAAUGGGCUACCAAGGCGGCGACGGGUAGCCGGCCUGGGAGGGUGGACAGCCACAGUGGGACUGGGAUUCAGCCCAGGCUCCUACGGGAGGGAGCGGUGGGGGUGAGGACUAAAGGGGCAUGAGCCUGAUGCAGCGACGCCGCGGGGGGGAUGACGGCCUUCGGGUUGUGAACGCCUUUCGCUAGGGACGAAGCUUUUUGUGACGGUACCUAGAUAAGAAGCACCGGCUAACUACGUG